GACAAGUUUGGGACCUUACGGCAAGUGCUCAGCCCUUACUCACUGUCCUUGUUAGUGAGUUGGCAUCCCCAGCAGCGCCACCAGCAUCCUCUGUGGUGAGCCAGAGCCCUGUCAGCUGAAACUUCCAAACACUUCUGUCAAAGAGGGCUCCAAAAUCAUAUGGACCAGAAGACAAUCUGCUUUACAAUCAGACGUGCUUCUGAAGACAAGAGGAUGAAGAGAAAGCAGUGGGGAAGGAGGGCCACCCCAUGAUCUGGGGCAGCUGAAUAAAGAAACCUCUGGGCCGGGCGCAGUGGCUCAUGCCUGUAAUCCCAGCACUUUGGGAGGCUGAGGCGGGUGGAUCACCUGAGGUCAGGAGUUCAAGACCAGCCUGGCCAACAUUGGGAAACCCCGUCUCUACUAAAAAUACAAAAGAUUAGCUGGGCAUGGCGGCGGGCGCCUGUAAUCCCAGCUACUUGGG
Molecule: long non-coding RNA, 460 nt
Filed under: Homo sapiens (human)
Lineage: Eukaryota; Metazoa; Chordata; Mammalia; Primates; Hominidae
Description: HSALNT0133291
Source: RNAcentral